AUGGCGGCACAGAGUAGAAUAUUGGUUACGUUUUAAGGGAGGCAGGGAUUUUAGGCAGGAUUUGAUUCAUGAUGUGUGUGUAGAUAUUAAUGUUAGGGAACAAUGUGAGAGUGUACGUUUUAGUAGGAAAACGUAUUACGUGACCCACACUCCGGAACAGAAGAGGGCGGUAAUGCACCAAUAAGCUGGAUGCCAACCGCCGUUAAACUGGAAAGAAGACGAAUAUGACAGCUUGCUGUGAGAGACAACGGGACAGAUGAGACACAUAUGUGUUUAUCUGCUGUAGAGUAACUGAUGAAGGAAUGCUGCCAUCAAAGGAUUUGUAUCUUUUGUGGUGGAGCAGGACCUGCAAGGAAAGAUGAAAAAGAGGGAAAACCUGAAACAAAAGAAUAAUGUAAUGACUUUUUGUAUUGUGUAUGUGUAUUUUUGUAGGACAUGAAAAUGUCUGUAGACUGGUGUGUGGACUGAGGAUGGAGAAGACUACAGCAUCAUCCUGGAAAUGAUCGAGAGUCACAAAUGAGACGCUUUAUCACUCCAGCUCUUACUGUCUCAUCAGGACCAGAUGCUGCUCUGGUGUCUUCAUCCUUAGUGACCCCAGAGCCAGUGAGAGCAUCUAGAGAAAGACCACAAGACACUGAGGAUGUGAUUUUGGUAAUGUUUGUUCAGCUGGUUAAUGUUUAAACAAUGAAGGCCGACUUUCAGAAGCUUCAAAAGCAUCAUCAAAAAAUGUGAUGGAGCUUUUAUCUGAAGUGAUUGACAGUGCUCUUAUUACAGGGGCCUUCAAUCCCCUGAUCAACCUGGAGAAGAGAGCCUUGCUUAAGGACACACUGGUGUUCCUGUGGCUCAAGUGGUAGAGCAUUGCGUUAGCAGUGCAAGGUUUUGGGUUCGAAUACCAGGGAACACAUGUUAGGUAGUCGUGCUCAUGGGGUGCAGGCACAUGAAAGUUCGGAGCAGACACAGCGGUCAGAUUGUCCUGCACGUGUUCUUCUGCUCUUGCUUCAAGGUUGUGUGGUUCAGAGAGCCGUCAUCAUGGUCUUCCUCAUCCUGUUGCUCAA
Carassius gibelio (silver crucian carp) is the source of this 1055-nucleotide long non-coding RNA. RefSeq lists it as uncharacterized. The transcript is spliced from 4 exons. The record is from RefSeq and is a predicted model, not a curated record. Lineage: Eukaryota; Metazoa; Chordata; Actinopteri; Cypriniformes; Cyprinidae.